Molecule: ribosomal RNA, 468 nt
Filed under: uncultured bacterium
Lineage: Bacteria
Description: bacterial SSU rRNA
Rfam family: Bacterial small subunit ribosomal RNA
Source: RNAcentral
UAGCCAGACUCCUACGGGAGGCAGCAGUGAGGAAUAUUGGUCAAUGGGCGCGAGCCUGAACCAGCCAAGUCGCGUGAGGGAUGACGGCCCUACGGGUUGUAAACCUCUUUUGUCGGGGAGCAAAUUCCGUUACGUGUAACGGAGUCGAGAGUACCCGAAGAAAAAGCAUCGGCUAACUCCGUGCCAGCAGCCGCGGUAAUACGGAGGAUGCGAGCGUUAUCCGGAUUUAUUGGGUUUAAAGGGUGCGUAGGCGGACUGUCAAGUCAGCGGUAAAAUCGAGGGGCUCAACCCCUUUAAGCCGUUGAAACUGGUGAUCUUGAGUGGGCGAGAAGUAUGCGGAAUGCGUGGUGUAGCGGUGAAAUGCAUAGAUAUCGCGCAGAACUCCGAUUGCGAAGGCAGCAUGCCGGCUCCACACUGACGCUGAGGCACGAAAGCGUGGGUAUCGAACAGGAUUAGAUACCCUCGUAC